UAGCCUUGCUGGGGGGCGCGGGCGACGUUCGUCCGCCGGACUCGGAAUGCGGCGAGACUUUGCGAGGGGCCUCGGGGUGCCAAAAAUAAGCCGCGGGCAAAGCCAAAAAAUGGGGCGAGAAAAAUGGUAAAGUCCCCCCACCAAGCGCCCGAAGGUCAUGGUGCCGAAACCCCCCAGCGGAAAAAUGGCCAAAAAACGGGUGGGCUAUAGCCUUGGUGGGGGGCGCGGGCGAAGUUCGUCCGCCGGACUCGGAAUGCGGCGAGACUUUGCGAGGGGCCUCGGGGUGCCAAAAAUAAGCCGCGGGCAAAGCAGCGCCCGAAGGUCAUGGUGCCAAAACCCCCUAGCGGAAAAAUGGCCAAAAAAAAGGUGGGCUAUAACCUUGGUGGGGGGCGCGGGCGACGUUCGUCCGCCGGACUCGGAAUGCGGCGAGACUUUGCGAGGGGCCUCGGGGUGCCAAAAAUAAGCCGCGGGCAAAGCCGCGCCCAGAAAUAAGCGCCCGAAGGUCGUGGUGCCAAAACCCCCCAGCGGAAAAAUGGCCAAAAAACGGGUGGGCUAUAGCCUUGGUGGGGGGCGCGGGCGAAGUUCGUCCGCCGGACUCGGAAUGGGGCGAGACUUUGCGAGGGGCCUCGGGGUGCCAAAAAUAAGCCGCGGGCAAAGCCGCGCCCAAAAAUAAGCGCCCGAAGGUCGUGGUGUCAAAACCCCCCAGCGGAAAAAUGGCCAAAAAACGGGUGGGCUAUAGCCUUGGUGGGGGGCGCAGGCGAAGUUCGUCCGCCGGACUCGGAAUGCGGCGAGACUUUGCGAGGGGCCUCGGGGUGCCAAAAAUAAGCCGCGGGCAAAGCCGCGCCCGAAGGUCGUGGUGCCAAAACCCCUCAGCGGAAAAAUGGCCAAAAAACGGGUGGGCUAUAGCCUUGAUGGGGGGCGCGGGCGACGUUCGUCCGCCGGACUCGGAAUGCGGCGAGACUUUGCGAGGGGCCUCGGGGUGCCAAAAAUAAGCCGCGGGCAAAGCCGCGCCCAAAAAUAAGCGCUCGAAGGUCGUGGUGCCAAAACCCCCUAGCGGAAAAAUGGCCAAAAAACGGGUGGGCUAUAGCCUUGGUGGGGGGCGCGGGCGACGUUCGUCCGCCGGACUCGGAAUGCGGCGAGACUUUGCGAGGGGCCUCGGGGUGCCAAAAAUAAGCCGCGGGCAAAGCCGCGCCCAGAAAUAAGCGCCCGAAGGUCGUGGUGCCAAAACCCCCCAGCGGAAAAAUGGCCAAAAAACGGGUGGGCUAUAGCCUUGGUGGGGGGCGCGGGCGAAGUUUGUCCGCCUGACUCGGAAUGGGGCGAGACUUUGCGAGGGGACUCGGGGUGCCAAAAAUAAGCCGCGGGCAAAGCCGCGCCCAAAAAUAAGCGCCCGAAGGUCGUGGUGCCAAAAACCCCCAGCGGAAAAAUGGCCAAAAAACGGGUGGGCUAUAACCUUGGUGGGGGGCGCGGGCGAAGUUCGUCCGCCGGACUCGGAAUGGGACGAGACUUUGCGAGGGGCCUCGGGGUGCCAAAAAUAAGCCGCGGGCACAGCCGCGCCCAAACAUAAGCGCCCGAAGGUCGUGGUGCCAAAACCCCCCAGCGGAAAAAUGGCCAAAAAACGGGUGGGCUAUAGCCUUGAUGGGGGGCGCGGGCGACGUUCGUCCGCCGGACUCGGAAUGCGGCGAGACUUUGCGAGGGGCCUCGGGGUGCCAAAAAUAAGCCGCGGGCAAAGCCAAAAAAUGGGGCGAGAAAAAUGGUAAAGUCCCCCCACCAAGCGCCCGAAGGUCGUGGUGCCGAAACCCCCCAGCGGAAAAAUGGCCAAAAAACGGGUGGGCUAUAGCCUUGGUGGGGGGCGCGGGCGAAGUUCGUCCGCCGGACUCGGAAUGCGGCGAGACUUUGCGAGGGGCCUCGGGGUGCCAAAAAUAAGCCGCGGGCAAAGCCGCGCCCAAAAAUAAGCGCCCGAAGGUCGUGGUGCCAAAACCCCCCAGCGGAAAAAUGGCCAAAAAAUGGGUGGGCUAUAGCCUUGGUGGGGGGCGCGGGCGAAGUUCUUCCGCCGGACUCGGAAUGCGGCGAGACUUUGCGAGGGGCCUCGGGGUGCCAAAAAUAAGCCGCGGGCAAAGCCGCGCCCAAAAAUAAGCGCCCGAAGGUCGAGGUGCCAAAACCCCCCAGCGGAAAAAUGGCCAAAAAACGGGUGGGCUAUAGCCUUGGUGCGGGGCGCGGGCGACGUUCGUCCGCCGGACUCGGAAUGGGGCGAGACUUUGCGAGGGGCCUCGGGGUGCCAAAAAUAAGCCGCGGGCAAAGCUGCGCCCAAAAAUACGCGCCCGAAGGUCGUGGUGCCAAGACCCCCCAGCGGAAAAAUGGCCAAAAAACGGGUGGGCUAUAGCCUUGGUGGGGGGCGCGGGCGAAGUUCGUCCGCCGGACUCGGAAUGCGGCGAGACUU
Molecule: long non-coding RNA, 2437 nt
Filed under: Citrus x clementina
Lineage: Eukaryota; Viridiplantae; Streptophyta; Magnoliopsida; Sapindales; Rutaceae
Description: Citrus clementina (C. clementina) long non-coding RNA (CCLE_LNC006357)
Source: RNAcentral